Molecule: ribosomal RNA, 362 nt
Filed under: uncultured bacterium
Lineage: Bacteria
Description: bacterial SSU rRNA
Rfam family: Bacterial small subunit ribosomal RNA
Source: RNAcentral
GAACGAACGCUGGCGGCAGGCCUAACACAUGCAAGUCGAACGCUCCGCAAGGGGAGUGGCGCACGGGUGAGUAACACGUGGGAACCUACCUUCUGGUACGGAACAACCAAGGGAAACUUUGGCUAAGACCAUAUACGACCUCCGGGUGAAAGAUUGAUCGCCGGAAGAGGGGCCCGCGUCCGAUUAGGUAGUUGGUGAGGUAACGGCUCACCAAGCCUUCGAUCGGUAGCUGGUCUGAGAGGAUGACCAGCCACACUGGGACUGAGACACGGCCCAGACUCCUACGGGAGGCAGCAGUGGGGAAUAUUGGACAAUGGGCGCAAGCCUGAUCCAGCCAUGCCGCGUGAGUGAUGAAGGCCUUC